Molecule: ribosomal RNA, 500 nt
Filed under: uncultured bacterium
Lineage: Bacteria
Description: partial 16S ribosomal RNA
Rfam family: Bacterial small subunit ribosomal RNA
Source: RNAcentral
AUUGAACGCUGGCGGAAUGCUUUACACAUGCAAGUCGAACGGCAGCACGGACUUCGGUCUGGUGGCGAGUGGCGAACGGGUGAGUAACAUAUCGGAACGUAUCCAAUAAUGGGGGAUAACUAAUCGAAAGGUUGGCUAAUACCGCAUACGCCCUACGGGGGAAAGCAGGGGAUCUUCGGACCUUGCGUUAAUGGAGCGGCUGAUAUCUGAUUAGCUAGUUGGUGAGGUAAAGGCUCACCAAGGCGACGAUCAGUAGCUGGUCUGAGAGGACGACCAGGCACACUGGAACUGAGCCACGGUCCAGACUCCUACGGGAGGCAGCAGUGGGGAAUUUUGGACAAUGGGCGCAAGCCUGAUCCAGCCAUUCCGCGUGAGUGAAGAAGGCCUUCGGGUUGUAAAGCUCUUUCGCAAGGGAAGAAAACUUACUUUCUAAUAAAGAGUGAGGUUGACGGUACCUUGAUAAGAAGCACCGGCUAACUACGUGCCAGCAGCCGCCGUAA